CCUACGGGAGGCAGCAGUAGGGAAUAUUGGUCAAUGGAUGCAAGUCUGAACCAGCCAUGCCGCGUGCAGGAAGAAGGCCUUCUGGGUCGUAAACUGCUUUUGCCAGGGGAUAAAAUACCGAUGCGUCGGUAAUUGAGGGUACCUGGUGAAUAAGCCACGGCUAACUACGUGCCAGCAGCCGCGGUAAU
Molecule: ribosomal RNA, 188 nt
Filed under: uncultured Chryseolinea sp.
Lineage: Bacteria; Pseudomonadati; Bacteroidota; Cytophagia; Cytophagales; Fulvivirgaceae
Description: partial 16S ribosomal RNA
Rfam family: Bacterial small subunit ribosomal RNA
Source: RNAcentral